AUUUUCUGCCAUAAAUCACUCCAUUUUACCACCCAUGCCGUGCACAUUCAUCCAUGUUCCCUCUUUGCACUCAAUUGCUGCACCAUUCCACUUCCUUUCCUUUGUCUACCAUGUGCACAAUAUCCUUUCACCUCCUUGCACUCAUUUAUUCACCACUUACUCACCUUUCCACCCAUGCCAUGCAUAAUCACCCUUGUCCCCUUCAUGCACCAAAUUUCUUGCACUCAUUUCAUGCACCAUUACACUCAUUAUCCCUUCUUGCCAUGCACCACCCUUGUCUCCUUCAUUAUUUCUGAUUUCAUGCACCAAAACAUUGAAUCAUUGCACUCAAUUGCUGCACAUUCCUUGUCCCCUUCACCCAUCAGAUUUCAUACAACUUUUACCUCCACUACAUGCACUCAUUGAUGCACCAUCCACCACCUUUGGAAUCCCAUGCCGUGCAUCAUGACUCAACCUGCACCUUUGACUUAUUUCUGCAUCAUUCCACCUCCUUUUCCUUUCUCUACCAUGUGUGAUGAGUAGAUUUUAUAUUAUAUAUUUUACCCUAAUCUUAAUAUAUUUUGGUUAAUAUAUUGGAAGAAUUUUGAUACUUUGAAUUGUAUUUUCAAUAUAGGACUUUCGACUUCCUCUGGAGAAAAAACAGGACCAAAUGGACGAAUUUUUGAGUAAUUCCAAUUGGAGGACGUUCGUGAGUCACUUAGCUUGAUCAUAUCAAAAUUUGGGAUUUUUUCACCAAGCGGUUAGUUUCUGGUGAUGAAAUAAAGAAGUAGUGCGCAGUGCUGGAAAAUGACGUUUUUUUGGCUUAAAUGACGUUUUUGGAGCCCAAGAUGACAUCGGAUGGGUUCGUGGCCUUCUGGAAAAGUGUUCAGAAUAUUCCAAACAUCAAAUCCAGCUAUAUUGGGCCAGUUUUGGACAGCUUAUGGGCCAAAACGUGGCUGUUCAGAUUUUAGACGAAUUUUACUAUUUUUAUUUAAGGUUUUUAUUAAUUUUAGUUUGCGAGGGUUUGUGUGGUGGCUUAGAAAAUAUAUUGCUUGGCCGUCUACAAUUUUGGACCACGCUUUAUUUUAUGCAAUAUUGGAGACAGAGAGAAGUGCUAGGGUUUUGAAGAUUUUCUACUUGAAGGUGUUUUCAAUCCUUUUCUUAAGAGAUAUUUCUAUGAUUUCAAUUAUGAAUAUGCGGAACUAAUUUCUUUUGCUAGGGCGAAGCCUUGAGCCUUAGCAUGAAUAUGUGAUUUUUAUUUAAUUGCUUAUGAUCGAUUGCAUGCGUACUUUGAAUUGUUAAUUACCGGGAUAAAAACUAUCUAAUUGUCGUAAUGCCUGAUCACCAUUAGGAUAUUUAGAAAAGUAAUUUGAUGCAAUUUUGGUUGGAAGGUUCCCUGAAAUUGACACUGGCUUCUUGUGAUUAAUAAUUGUAAUUUCUCUUAGGAUGAAUAUCACGUCUUAAGGAUUGCAUGGUUUUUCAAAGGAUUUUCAUAAAGCAUAAUGAGUCUUUCAUGUUUAGAUUUGAUCCGAACGUCCGGACGGAUUGCAUGUUAGAUAUACGUUCUAUGUUGGAGGUUCCAAGUAGAAUAUGAAUUAGGAAAAUCUAACCUUCAAAGUGGCAUGUAUAGAUCAUAAGUAAUUGGUAAAAAUUCAUAGGAUUGCUAGGUGAUGGUGGAACCCUAGUGCUUUCUUAAUUUUAUUCUCCCAAAACUGUUUUCUUUCUCUCUAGCUCUAAUAUUGCAGAUUGUUUAUUUUAAUUCAUUAAUUUCGUUUUUAUUUUAAUUAGGUUUUAAAAUCAAUCACUUCAAUUUCUACUUUACAAUAAUUAAAUGGAAUCUGAUUAGUUUGAAUUAUUUAAUAAUCCCUGUGGAGAUGACCUUGCGAAAUCCGUUUAUACUACAACAACCUUGUUAUUCUUGCAAGUAAAAUAGGAGAUUUAAGCCCGUUCACAUGAGUAGUAAAAAUCCCUAUCAAUGUGCACAAUCAUUCAUGUUCCCCACUUGCAUUCAUAGCUGCAACACCACUCCAUUUUACCCUCCAUGCUUUGCAUCAUCACUUCACUUUCACCUUUGAAUCAUUUCAACACCACUCCAUGCACUUAUUGCUGCAACACCACUCCAUUUUACCCCCCAUACUUUGCAUCAUUACUUCAUUUUCACCCUUGAAUCAUUGCACACACCACUAUUUUCCCCUCCUUGCCGUUCACUUCCUCUAUAAAAGGAAGUGUGUUGCAGCCAUAUAGUUUAGUUUUGCUAGAUUAUUCAUCCCCAUUUCAAUACAACCUUCAUCCAAACACAUCCAUUCAUCUUUACAUCCAUUCCUCCAUACAAACAAACCUUCAAACACUCACCAACACCUUGUUGAUAGGAGCAUAUUUAUGCGACUUAGUUGGCUUGUUCUUAUGCAUUUAUGUCGUGUUUCCUUAGUUAUUUUAAUGUUUAAAGUCAUUUUCGUGUGUUUUCAGA
This 2446-nucleotide long non-coding RNA is filed under the name Malus domestica (apple). RNAcentral's name for it is "long non-coding RNA (MDOM_LNC005562)". Lineage: Eukaryota; Viridiplantae; Streptophyta; Magnoliopsida; Rosales; Rosaceae. The record is from RNAcentral.